This 119-nucleotide ribosomal RNA is filed under the name Pteropus alecto (black flying fox). Lineage: Eukaryota; Metazoa; Chordata; Mammalia; Chiroptera; Pteropodidae. The record is from RNAcentral.
GUCUACGGCCAUGCUACCCUGAACAAGCCCGAUCUUGUCUGAUCUUCUAAGCUAAGCAAGGUUGGGCCUGGUUAGUACUUGGAUGGGAGACCACCUAGGAAGAGCAGGUGCUGUAGGCA